GGUUAACCCGAGAGGGGUAGCCGAAGCGAAAGCGAGUCUGAACAGGGCGUUCAGUCGCAUGCUGUAGACCCGAAGCCAAGUGAUCUUGCCAUGGUCAGGUUGAAACGGGGGUAAGACCCCGUGGAGGUCCGAACCCGUAUCAGUUGAAAAUGGUUGGGAUGAGGUGUGGGUGGGAGUGAAAGGCUAAUCAAGCUGGGAAAUAGCUGGUUCUUUCCGAAAUAUAUUUAGGUAUAGCCUUGAUGAAUUUUAUAUAGGGGUAAAGCACAGUUUUUGCUUUGGGGUCGCAAGAUUACCGGGUUUUUACUAACUCUGAAUACUAUAUAUUUUGAAGUCAGGAGACAGGCUACGAGAGAUAAGUUCCGUGGCCGAAAGGGAAACAGCCCAGACCAUCAGUUAAGGUCCCCAAGUAUUUGCUAAGUGUUUAAAGAAGUGAAAAUACACAGACAGCCAGGAGGUUGGCUUUGAAGCAGCCAUCCUUUAAAGAAAGCGUAAUAGCUCACUGGUCAAGUGUUUUUGCGCUAAAGUAUACACGGGGCUAAGCAAAUCACCGAAACUAUGGCUUGUACAUUUUUGUGUACAGGGGUAGGAAAGCGUUCUUGAAUAGAUACGAGUUCAACUGUAAAGAUGGAUGAUGGAUUCAAGAAGUGAGAAUGUUGGUAUAAGUAACGAAAAAAUGGGUGAAAAUCCCGUUCGCCGUAAAUCUAAGGUUUCCUGAGAAAUGUUUAUCAUCUCAGGGUUAGUCGAUUCCUAAGCUGAGGCCGAUUGGAGUAAGUGAUGGAUAACAGGUUAAUAUUCCUGUACUAUAAAAAUGCGAUUGAAUGAUGGAGUGACGCAGUAGGAUAGGUUGAAUGAGCAUUUGGUGCUCAUCCAAGCUUUAAGGUAGAUGAUAUAGGUAAAUCCGUAUCAUUGUUGAUUUGAGGAGUGAUAGGUCUUUUUAGUUCUAGUAAUUAAAUGGAUUCAAUUGAUUUCACACUGACAAGAAAAACUUCUAGUGAGUAUUUUUGUAAUCGUACCGCAAACUGACACAAGUAGAUGGGCUGAGAAUGCUCAGGCGUUGAGAUAAUUAUCGUUAAGGAACUCGGCAAAUUAGCCUCGUAACUUCGGGAGAAGAGGUGCCUGUGAUGUAUUUUAAACUAUGCAUCGUCAGGUUUCAACAAAGAGGCCCAAUCGACUGUUUAACAAAAACACAGAGCUCUGCUAAUUCGAAAGAAGAUGUAUAGAGUUUGACGCCUGCCCAGUGCUGGAAGGUCAACAGGAGAUGUUAAUUGAAAGAUGAAGCAUUGAAUCGAAGCCCCAGUAAACGGCGGCCGUAACUAUAACGGUCCUAAGGUAGCGAAGUCCCUUGUCGGGUAAAUUCCGACCUGCAUGAAUGGCGUAACGAGUUGGGCGCUGUCUUGACGAUAAACUCAGUGAAUUUGUAGUAGGGGUGAAAAUGCCCCUUACCUGCAAUUGGACGGAAAGACCCCGUGCACCUUUACUGCAAUUUUGCAUUGUUGUUUGGGUUUGUAUAUGUAGGAUAGGCGGGAGACUUUGAUGUGUAGGCGCUAGCUUAUGCGGAGUCGUCGGUGAAAUACCGCUUUUAUUAGCUUGAAUAUCUAACUUUAAUCCAUUAUCUGGAUAGAGGACAUUGCAUGAUGGGCAGUUUGACUGGGGUGGUCGCCUCCCAAAGAGUAACGGAGGCAUUCAAAGGUUCCCUCAGACUGGUUGGUAAUCAGUCGGCGAGUGUAAUGACACAAGGGAGCUUUACUGCGAGACUUACAAGUCAAGCAGUUGCGAAAGCAGGACAUAGUGACCCGGCCUUUGCUUGUGG
RNAcentral lists this ribosomal RNA (1810 nucleotides) under freshwater metagenome. RNAcentral's name for it is "bacterial LSU rRNA". It matches the Rfam family "Bacterial large subunit ribosomal RNA", at positions 644 to 2436 of the family's 2925-position model. The record is from RNAcentral.